CACGCCCUAAACGGUGCACACUAGGUGUUGGCGGAUUCGACCCCGUCAGCGCCCAAGCUAACGCGUUAAGUGUGCCGCCUGAGGACUACGGCCGCAAGGCUAAAACUCAAAGGAAUUGACGGGGGCCCGCACAAGCGGUGGAGCAUGUGGCUCAAUUCGAUGCAACGCGAAGAACCUUACCAGGCCUUGACAUGCAUUGGACCGACGCUGAAAGGCGUUUUUCCCGCAAGGGACCGAUGCACAGGUGC
Molecule: ribosomal RNA, 248 nt
Filed under: uncultured Opitutaceae bacterium
Lineage: Bacteria; Pseudomonadati; Verrucomicrobiota; Opitutia; Opitutales; Opitutaceae
Description: partial 16S ribosomal RNA
Rfam family: Bacterial small subunit ribosomal RNA
Source: RNAcentral